RNAcentral lists this long non-coding RNA (4666 nucleotides) under Ananas comosus (pineapple). Its description in RNAcentral is "long non-coding RNA (ACOM_LNC011215)". The record is from RNAcentral. Lineage: Eukaryota; Viridiplantae; Streptophyta; Magnoliopsida; Poales; Bromeliaceae.
AAAAUUAUGUAAAGGUUUAGGGUUUAAGGGUUAAGAGUAAAAGGGUUAAGGAUUUUUAGGAGUUCAGGGUUUAGGGUUUAAAGUUUUAGGAUUUUAGUGUUUAGGGUUUAGGGUUUAGCUUAAAUUCAUAUCUGGAUGGUGGUACAAAAUUUUUUUAAAAAAAUCUUACUCGGGCUAGAAUAUUUGAAUAUCAAAUUAGCUGUCACAACCUUGUUCAAGCACAAACCCAAAUCUAAGGUUUAUUUGGACCAGGCCUUAGAACGUAGCCUAUAAAACAACCAUUUUAUUGGCCUACGGGCCGGAUGGUCUCAUAUUUGUUUUGAGAAACUAACCCGGAUUGUAAUGCGGGCUUAUUUCGACGUGUCAAAGACUAUGCUAGAAUUAUUGUUUUUUUUACAAUAGUCCUUAAUGUUUACUAUUGAAUUGGAUGGGCCAUUCCAAUAUUUAUGGAAAAAAUUGAUAUUUCUGUACUAACAAUAACAUAUUGUACGACAAUGGUAUAAAUUAGUCUUUCUUUACAAAAAAAAUUAGAUGUAAAGAAAAGAUCUGAAAAAUGGAAUAUGCUCACGAAAAAAAUAGAAGGUGUCUCUUACCGAGAGGAAAAGUAGCGUAUAGAAUGCAUACUCAUAUCACAUAAUUAAUUUUAUUUUUCUAAUCUGACAUUUGAUGUGGUUUUUAUUGGCAUCACUGUGCUGGCCUCUCAAACAUUUUCAUUAUGACACUAUUAGAUGCAUUAGUAGCUAAAUAUGACUGCAAUAACACAAUGACAACAAGACAAAAAAUUAAGGCAUAAAAAUGUUGAAGAUUGAACUAGAGGACUUCAAAUGGUUUGUUUUUCCCAAAAUUCCUACUCAAUGAAUGAGGGUCCAAAAUGUUAGGUACUUAAUUCAAAUUUUGAGUAAAAGGCUAGAGAAUUGGAUCUCUUAUAUAAUUUACCCUGUUAUACCUCAGCAUAAAAUCAAAAUUUAUAUUCGGACCAAGCUUUGACCAAUAGCAGGCCGGGCCAUUGUAUGUUCCCAGAUGCAAGAGGAAGUUUUCCAAUUCAAUGAAUGACGUAUUACAUGAUAGUAGGAUGGACAGGGCCCUUUUUAGCCCGGAAACCUAUCUCAUUAUGAGAGUCGCACCAACCGACGAUAUCUUGUAGUUGGGCUAGGGCCUACCCAGCCCGUCCCAGCAGCAGAUUUGGCCACUCCCAGCCGGGGCGAACUUUUUCGGAUCCAUGCCAGGCCAGGUCGGACGGGGCCCGUACCGGCCGAGUUUUUUAUUUUAUAAAUUUUUAUAUUUAAAUUGUUUAAAAUAUAAUAUUUAUAGAUGUUUUUUACAAUCAGUAGGGAUAUUAUGGUUAAAAAUUUAAAACUUUUUUUUUAAAAAAAAUAGAACUUAAAAAUCAUUUGGACAAAAAUUUAAAGGUUAAAAUUCUUCCAAUAUAAUUUCAAAAAGUUUAUAAUUUUUUUAAAAUUUUUUGGUUAGAAAUUAAACAAUAAAAUUUCAAAAAUAUUUAAACAAAGGUUAAUUGCUAUUCACGCUCCGCUUAGUGUGGCAUGGGCUGGCCUAUUGCAUCCUAUACCUAAAGUUUUUAAUUUAAGUAAAAAAUUAGUAAAUAGAAGGGUUUUAUUUUGUGUGUAUUAUAUAUUGAAGUUCCAAGCAGUAAAAAAACUUUUUUGGAAAUAAUCCACGGAAAAUUUUUUGUUUCUAUUUUCUUUUUGUUUCUUGGUUAGGCUUUCGGCCAAAACCGGCUCAUAUUCGGCGUAGCCAGCCAUCAGGGAGUUUGGUCCGAUUUCUUUUUGGACGGGACUAAAUCUGAUAUCGCUUAAUUAUUAGGUCAGGCUUAAUUAUUAGUCGUCCUUGUGUUAAAAUUUCAAAUUUAUUUAUUUCAUUUUAUUUCGUGCUUUUUUCUUGUUCCACCGAUCAAAAAUUCAAUUAGAUUGCACAUUGACCAUUGAUGCCCCCUAACUCGCGGCAAAGACGACAUCUAUUCUUUUUUUUUCUACAUUAAAAGAGGGUUUGGGAGGACCAUAGGGCGACACGUGCCCCUUUCCCAAACCCUCAUUUAUUCUCUCUCUACUAUAUAUAUAAAUAAUAUAUAUAUAUAUAUAUAUAUAUAUAUAUAUAUAUAUAAUAUAAAAUUUUAAAUUUUGAUAUCAAAAUUNNNUUUUAUAUUUUAUAUUUUAAAUUCUAAAUUUCAAUUUUAACUUAUAAUAUUUAUUUCCAAUUUUGUAACUUCAAAAUUUAAAAUUUUAAAUCUCUAAACUCUAUGAUUUAAUUAAUUUAAUUUUAUUAAUAAUACGCGUAAUAAAUUGCAUAAUAAAAUCUAACAUAAUAGAUGCAAUUUAAAUCACGUAAAAUAUAAUUGUAUAAAAAAAUACAUAAUUUAAAUUUCAAGAGAAAAAAUUUAGAAAUAUAGUGUAUACGUGUAUAUAUAAAAUUAAUUUUAUUAAACAAUUUCUUCUACAAAUUUAUUUUUCUUCGAUUUAUUGCUUUUUUAAAAAUUAUUUUGAUAGAUUUAUCUCAAAUCCUUCUCAUAUAAAUUUUUAUAAAAUAAAUUGAUGUAUAAAUUUACUUGCGCAUAUACCAAUUUUAAUCUUUUAUUUAAAUAGAUUUAACUAUUAAACUAUUUUUAUAUAACUUUUAUUUAAUUAAUAAUUAGACUUAUAAAAAAAUAAAAUUUAUCAUAAAAAUAUUUUUAUAUCCGCAGCAUCGCGCGGGUAUUUCGCUAAUGUACUUAAUUUUUUAGUAAACUAAAACAAAUGAAUUUUUGAUUAAUACAAUUUCUAUAAGGAAGAGAUGCUCUGGAAUCCCAUGAGCCAAUUAGGCCCAACUACCUAAUUCAAACCUAACCUUCGUUUUUCAUAGAACGCCAUUUUGAAAUAAACCCCUUCUCUUCUUUUUGAUUGAGGUCCGGGUAUUUCUAAUUAAUCUAAUUUAAAUUAUUUUGUUUAAAUAAAUUGGAAUUUUGAUAAAAUAAAUAAGAGUAUUAAUUAAGUAAUUAAAUUUGAUGAAAUAGUUAAUUCUACCUUCGUUCUCGCAAUGUAAUUUUUGCUUGUUCUUGCUGUAAAAAUUUCGUAGUAUCAGCUAUAAAAACUCAUUGAUAACAUAUUAGAUGAGAAUGCUACGGGCUGGUUUCAUUCUUAGCCUAGAGGCCAUACACUCAGCCACAAAUAACGGGCUCGGUUGUUUGUAGAUUCUUCGGGCUAAGAAAACACUAAAAAGGUGAAGUGAAGGUUGGAUAAAAUAUAUUGACGCUCAGCCCAUUAUUCGUGGCCUAGAGUCCAUUAUUUUCUCAGGCCUAGGCUGAUGUUCAGCCCAUUUUGUUGUCGUUGGCUUGCCCAUAGAAUCAGGCCUAUGUUCCAUUGGUACGGGAAAAGUUCAGUAGUUUGGUUGGGGUCUGUCCGAAUCCAAUGGAUUGUUCCUUUUUGGUUAAAAAGAAAUUUAAGCCCAACUAUUUCAAAUAAUAAUAAUAAUUAUUAUUAACAUGUUAAAAUGUUAAAAAUCUAAUAAGUCAUGUCAAAAAAUUGUCAUUUGAGUCUGUAUUUAUUAUUUUUAUUUAAACAAGUCUUGAUAUAUUUUAAAUUUUUAACUUUCUAUAAAACUAUGAAAAUUCAAAUAUAGAAUGAGCAUUAAUCCAGAUGGACUGCCGAAAUCAAGUUCAAUAAUUUUUGCAGAAGGCCGAACCAUAGUUCAAAGAUUGGAGCUCAUAGGAUAGCUUCAAUAAAUACAGUCUGCAUCGAGCCCGUCCCUUAGCACUAGUUUCGUUCGGGGGUAAGGGGUGGAAUAACCCUUUAACUCCGAAGUUAUUUCCAAACACCCAAUUUGGAGGGUGGGGUUAGUUAAUCCCACUCCACUACUCAAAUCAAACAAAACACUAUUUUACCCACUAUUCUUCUUAUCCCACCUACUCAACCAAACACUAUUUUAUCUAUACUUUGACUAAACCCAAUUCUCAACCAAACACAAAAUUACUCUAACCUUAUCUUAACCCUGAAUUUACUCUAUCUAUGGAAUAACAAGUUUUUACUUAACUCCGAACCAAACAGUGGCUUAGGGACAAGCCCGGAAAGCUGUAGCUUUGGAGCGACAGCGGCUUGUUUUGAUGGUUAGAGGCCGGCCCUACCACAGACCGCCGAUCCAGCCCGUAAAUUUACGACUGCAUAUGCCCAAGCUUGGGAGGUUGAAGACUUUAGGCUUCCUACCUAUGGGCUGAAUAUCCGGCCUGGCCCAGAAACUGGGGCCAUAGAAUAGUGUCAUGGGUCGUGAAUGGUGAUCGGCUGAGCUUUUAGUAAGGGCAAUAGAAUAGUAUAGGUUGGUUUAGCCCAUUGAAAUGCAUAUCAGUGAUUAAGGAAUUGACCCAUUCAAAUGAAUUUUGCUAAAUGUUUUGAUCUCCACUUAUUAAUAAUGCCCAACAAAUUGAGCUGACAAGGAUGGAUUGACGGGCUGGGCCCAUUCUUAGCCACAGAGCCUUUAUGUGGAUGAAAAAAGCUCAGUGUUUAGGGUUUUUAGGGUUUAGGAUUUAGGGCUUAGGGUUUUAGGGUUUUAGGGUUUGGGGUUUGGGGUUUGGGGUUUAGGUUUUUAGGGUUUAGGGUUUAGGGUUUAGGGUUUAGGGUUUUAGGGUUUAGGGUUUAGGGUUUAGGGUUUAGGGUUUAGGGUUUAGGGUUUAGGGUUUAGGGGG